CAGCAGGUCCCACUGAGGGCCCCCGUUGAAGAUCAGAGGGGUCUGGCAGGGCCUGUGGGACAUCCCGCCAUGCCUCGCUUCCUCCCCACACUGCUGCAGACAGGCUCUGCCCAGGACCUUUGUGAUGGGCAGGUCAACCUGACCAGAGGUGUGGAAACUUCUGGAUGCCUGCUCUUGUGAGUUCACCUCUAUGUCUACUCUACUGAGGCCUCUCCAUACAGGUCUCAGUUUCCUGCCUUCCUGGGAAGUGGGGAAAGGCUGAGAGGCCCCGUGCUGGGGGUGAAGCUAAUUCAUUAGUUACGCCUCAACAAGGACCGGGUGCCUGCAGUGCCAGCGUGAUUCAUCAUGAUGAUUGCCCCACUGCCAGCCUGCGUGGGCCUGGAACGCCAGCACAUUUUACCUUUACCCACUGAGAAGGGCCUGGUGGGAGGUGAAGGUACAGGAUCUGCCGAGAGCAAGAAAAAGACUCUGAGAAAGAAGAGGGCUGGUCCUCCAUGCUCUCGGCCCCAGGAAGCUCUGCCAGGCUGGUGCCGGGGUGGAGAGGCUCAUGUGGGCUCAUGUGGUGCUGCCUGUGCUGAUGGAGCCCAAGAGGGCAGCCUGGCGCUGGGUGCCAGCCUGAGCAUGUGGCGAGGCUGGGCUGCUGAGCCUCCUCCUCCACAGCCAAUGUUCCCUCAAACUGCUUGGGGGUGGGGGGAGGGACUCAUCCUCAUCCCAUUAGCCUGGCUGGGUAUUCCCUACCUUUCUGGUCUCUGAGAGACUUACCUCUUCCAAGAAGUCCUCCCGAAUGAGUAGAAGGGAGAGAGCUGGAUUGGAACUUAAGUGACAUCUGGGAGGAGCCUGAAGCCCCUCCGGUUGGGGCUGAGACUCCUAUACCCUAGGUCUGGUGUCUGGGUUCCACCUGGGUCCUCUACCUUGGCCUGGAUUCCUGCUUUCGUUUUGCCAGUCUCUCCCAGGAUGGGGGUGCAUGGCUGGUUCGUGGCUCAGAGCAACAUCUGCCUCUGUGUCCCCCCAUCAUCUGUCCGCCCCCUAACACCUCUUGCCAUAUUAGAAUUGCUAUUGCUCUGUCCUUUCAUUCAUGUAUCCAAC
Molecule: long non-coding RNA, 1086 nt
Filed under: Homo sapiens (human)
Lineage: Eukaryota; Metazoa; Chordata; Mammalia; Primates; Hominidae
Description: non-protein coding lnc-LRRC10B-1:2
Source: RNAcentral